Molecule: ribosomal RNA, 678 nt
Filed under: Escherichia sp.
Lineage: Bacteria; Pseudomonadati; Pseudomonadota; Gammaproteobacteria; Enterobacterales; Enterobacteriaceae
Description: bacterial SSU rRNA
Rfam family: Bacterial small subunit ribosomal RNA
Source: RNAcentral
UGGCUCAGAUUGAACGCUGGCGGCAGGCCUAACACAUGCAAGUCGAACGGUAACAGGAAGAAGCUUGCUUCUUUGCUGACGAGUGGCGGACGGGUGAGUAAUGUCUGGGAAACUGCCUGAUGGAGGGGGAUAACUACUGGAAACGGUAGCUAAUACCGCAUAACGUCGCAAGACCAAAGAGGGGGACCUUCGGGCCUCUUGCCAUCGGAUGUGCCCAGAUGGGAUUAGCUUGUUGGUGGGGUAACGGCUCACCAAGGCGACGAUCCCUAGCUGGUCUGAGAGGAUGACCAGCCACACUGGAACUGAGACACGGUCCAGACUCCUACGGGAGGCAGCAGUGGGGAAUAUUGCACAAUGGGCGCAAGCCUGAUGCAGCCAUGCCGCGUGUAUGAAGAAGGCCUUCGGGUUGUAAAGUACUUUCAGCGGGGAGGAAGGGAGUAAAGUUAAUACCUUUGCUCAUUGACGUUACCCGCAGAAGAAGCACCGGCUAACUCCGUGCCAGCAGCCGCGGUAAUACGGAGGGUGCAAGCGUUAAUCGGAAUUACUGGGCGUAAAGCGCACGCAGGCGGUUUGUUAAGUCAGAUGUGAAAUCCCCGGGCUCAACCUGGGAACUGCAUCUGAUACUGGCAAGCUUGAGUCUCGUAGAGGGGGGUAGAAUUCCAGGUGUAGCGGUGAAAU